AGCGAACGCUGGCGGCAGGCCUAACACAUGCAAGUCGAGCGGGCACUCUCGGGUGUCAGCGGCGGACGGGUGGGUAACGCGUGGGAACGUGCCCUCUGGUUCGGAAUAACUCAGGGAAAAUUGAGCUAAUACCGGAUACGCCCUUUUGGGGAAAGGCUUGCUGCCGGAGGAGCGGCCUGCGACUGAUUAGCUUGGUGGUGAGGUAACGGCUCACCAAGGCGACGAUCAGUAGCUGGUCUGAGAGGAUGAUCAGCCACACUGGGACUGGGACACGGCCCAGACUCCUACGGGAGGCAGCAGUGGGUAAUAUUGGACAAUGGGCGCAAGCCUGAUCCAGCCAUGCCUCGUGAGUGAUGAAGGCCGUAGGGUUGUAAAGCUCUUUUAUCCGGGACGAUAAUGACGGUACCGGAGGAAUAAGCCCCGGCUAACUUCGUG
RNAcentral lists this ribosomal RNA (435 nucleotides) under uncultured bacterium. RNAcentral's name for it is "partial 16S ribosomal RNA". It matches the Rfam family "Bacterial small subunit ribosomal RNA", at positions 29 to 507 of the family's 1533-position model. The record is from RNAcentral.